UACGGGGGGAGCAAGCGUUGUUCGGAUUUACUGGGCGUAAAGGGCGCGUAGGCGGUCAGCACUAAGUCGAGUUGUGAAACUCCGGGACUUACCCGGAAAGGUCAACUGAUACUGUGCGACUAGAGUGCGGAAGGGGCAAGCUGGAAUUCUGCGGUGUAGCGGUGAAAUGCGUAGAUAUCGAAGAGGAACACCUGCGGCGAAGGCGGGUUGCUGGGCCGACACUGACGCUGAUGACGCGAAAGCCAGGGAGGCGAACGGG
RNAcentral lists this ribosomal RNA (259 nucleotides) under uncultured bacterium. Its description in RNAcentral is "partial 16S ribosomal RNA". It matches the Rfam family "Bacterial small subunit ribosomal RNA", at positions 524 to 776 of the family's 1533-position model. The record is from RNAcentral.